This 253-nucleotide ribosomal RNA is filed under the name uncultured bacterium. RNAcentral's name for it is "partial 16S ribosomal RNA". It matches the Rfam family "Bacterial small subunit ribosomal RNA", at positions 524 to 776 of the family's 1533-position model. The record is from RNAcentral.
UACAGAGGGUGCAAGCGUUGUUCGGAAUCACUGGGCGUAAAGCGCGCGCAGGCGGAUGGUUGCGUCCGGAGUGAAAUUUCGCCGCUCAACGGCGAAGCUGCUUUAGAUACGGACCGUCUAGGGACCGGUAGAGGCUGGUAGAAUUGCAGGUGUAGCGGUGGAAUGCGUAGAGAUCUGCAAGAAUACCCGUGGCGAAGGCGGCCAGCUGGGCCGGAUCCGACGCUGAGGCGCGAAAGCGUGGGGAGCAAACAGG